CUACUCUUGACAUCCAGAGAACUUGGCAGAGAUGCCUUGGUGCCUUCGGGAACUCUGAGACAGGUGCUGCAUGGCUGUCGUCAGCUCGUGUUGUGAAAUGUUGGGUUAAGCCCCGCAACGAGCGCAACCCUUAUCCUUUGUUGCCAGCGAUUCGGUCGGGAACUCAAAGGAGACUGCCGGUGAUAAACCGGAGGAAGGUGGGGAUGACGUCAAGUCAUCAUGGCCCUUACGAGUAGGGCUACACACGUGCUACAAUGGCGCAUACAAAGAGAAGCGACCUCGCGAGAGCAAGCGGACCUCAUAAAGUGCGUCGUAGUCCGGAUCGGAGUCUGCAACUCGACUCCGUGAAGUCGGAAUCGCUAGUAAUCGUGGAUCAGAAUGCCACGGUGAAUA
This 393-nucleotide ribosomal RNA is filed under the name uncultured Pantoea sp. RNAcentral describes it as "bacterial SSU rRNA". It matches the Rfam family "Bacterial small subunit ribosomal RNA", at positions 975 to 1368 of the family's 1533-position model. The record is from RNAcentral. Lineage: Bacteria; Pseudomonadati; Pseudomonadota; Gammaproteobacteria; Enterobacterales; Erwiniaceae.